UACGAAGGGGGCGAGCGUUGUUCGGAAUUACUGGGCGUAAAGGGCGCGUAGGCGGCCUUCUAAGUCGAACGUGAAAUCCCCGGGCUCAACCCGGGAACUGCGUCCGAUACUGGAAGGCUUGAAUCCGGGAGAGGGAUGCGGAAUUCCAGGUGUAGCGGUGAAAUGCGCAGAUAUCAGGAGGAACACCGAUGGCGAAGGCAGGUCUCUGGGCCACUACUGACGCUGAGAAGCGAAAGCAUGGGGAGCGAACAGG
RNAcentral lists this ribosomal RNA (253 nucleotides) under uncultured bacterium. Its description in RNAcentral is "partial 16S ribosomal RNA". It matches the Rfam family "Bacterial small subunit ribosomal RNA", at positions 524 to 776 of the family's 1533-position model. The record is from RNAcentral.